Molecule: long non-coding RNA, 153 nt
Organism: Neogale vison (American mink)
Lineage: Eukaryota; Metazoa; Chordata; Mammalia; Carnivora; Mustelidae
Exons: 3
Source: RefSeq, a predicted model, not a curated record
GUACCAAGUGGAGCCACGGAGAAGGAGCAACAGAAGCAAAAAACAUCAGAAAAUGAAAGGUUUCAGAGAAUUUCUGAAAAAUCUGGAAGAGGUUCAGGACCUGUUCUCCCUUCUGGAAAGCCACCUGGAGAGACUCUCUGACCAGGGGGGCUU